UGGUAAAAGGCUGCCUCCUGCCUAGACAAU
Molecule: non-coding RNA, 30 nt
Filed under: Mus musculus (house mouse)
Lineage: Eukaryota; Metazoa; Chordata; Mammalia; Rodentia; Muridae
Source: RNAcentral